This 1560-nucleotide long non-coding RNA is filed under the name Olea europaea subsp. europaea. The record is from RNAcentral. Lineage: Eukaryota; Viridiplantae; Streptophyta; Magnoliopsida; Lamiales; Oleaceae.
UUAAAAUAAAUAAAAGGCCAAUUUUAUUUUAUUAAAAAAAAAAAAAACAAUCUUUUCCUUCAGCCACUCCCAAUCAUGCUUGGUAUACAAUCUCUUUAACAUAAUUGUUGACAACAUGACACGUUUGCGCGUUCUCAUUGAAUAAUUUAAAACAAUUUAUCUUUCCAACCAACAUGUUUUUGAGACAUACAAUAUUGUCAACAAUGUUGUCAAAAAUUAUUGUACAAAUGACAAUGUUCUCCCACUCCACCCCAUCACCAACUGCCCCCACUACCACCCACCAUCUCCCUGAAUGGCAGCCACCACAACACAACCCAUGUCGCAAGUCACUCCACCCCAAAUUCCACCGGACCCUUCCUCGUUUCCCUACCACAAUUGUUCUCUCUUUCAAUUUCUCUAGAAGCUUCGUCCAGUUUCCUAUACCAGAAUCCAAGUUCCUUGACAGGUACAGAAACCGUACCCUUAGCACAAUUUAUAUUGAACAGCAAAUUGACGGACAGUCUUGAAAUCUGGCAAUUGCGACUAGGUAUUCCGCAGCAUCAGUCUUGCUCAGUACAUUCUUUCAAACAACCCCAUUGCACCUAUUUUACAUCCAUUAGGUGAUGAAUAAAGCUACACAAACAGUUGCUAACCAAGAUCAGAAGUACUAUAUCAAAAGUCUUCUUCACAUUUUGGCUAAGAUCAAAGUUGUAAUGUCGUUAGUAUAACAAGGUCAUGAGGUUUUGAGCCUUUGUUGUUAGAAUGCUAUUUAAUUAUUGGAGAAUGAAAAGACUAUGAAGGGAUAAACACGGGUGAAGCGCAUCUGGAUUUGCACCAGUCUCUUGGCAUGAAAAACAAUUUUGGCACCUAACUUUCAGUAAGGGCUAGUUUUUACAGUAUCUAGGCACAAAAUUUAAUAACCAUGCUUAAAAUUUAACCAAAUACCAUUCAUUCAGGAAAAAAGUCACAGAACUCAAUAUAUUUAUCCGUUGAUAUCCAAAAUUGGAACUUCUCAUCUUCCCAACCAUACUGCCUUUCCACAAUCAACCAUCACCACUACGCCCCCUUCUCGAGAACCUCCAUCCCACGCUCAGACCCUUGUAAUCUCCCAUCCUCCACCAUCUCCACAACUCAACCUUCUCUUUUACGGUCACAAAACACAAUCACCUAUCAUUACUAAUUCCACCUUUCCAACUCUUACCUUUCCCACACCAAUCCAGCCAAGUCCUGUAAACCCAUUGUUGUGAUUCUCCGAUCACGAGAAGAAAAGAUAAAAAAGAGGAAAAAUAAUUCUAUUUCUUACUUGAAUAGAAUUUUAUAAUGGAGUAUUACAAACUCUAAAAAAAAACCUCUAAUCUUUCGUCUCUACACUAUUUUUCUUCCUCUCCAGGGAUUUUUCCUCUCUUUUGGGGUAUAAAAUUCUUUUUGUGACAUCCCUUAUUUAUAGAGGAAUUAGGCUACAAACCGCCUCAAUUUUAUGACCAGAAUUCUGCCAUUUAAGUGCUUAAUGGACAGUCAAAAUUUGGAGCAUGCCUUCUUCAUGAAAUAAUUAAAAUUGUGGCUAUGUUCAUGCAUUUAAGG